ACCAGACUCCUACGGGAGGCAGCAGUGGGGAAUAUUGCACAAUGGGGGAAACCCUGAUGCAGCGACGCCGCGUGAGUGAAGAAGUAUUUCGGUAUGUAAAGCUCUAUCAGCAGGGAAGAAAAUGACGGUACCUGAUUAAGAAGCCCCGGCUAACUACGUGCCAGCAGCCGCGGUAAUACGUAGGGGGCAAGCGUUAUCCGGAUUUACUGGGUGUAAAGGGAGCGUAGACGGUGAUGCAAGUCAGAAGUGAAAGCCCGGGGCUCAACUCCGGGACUGCUUUUGAAACUGUGUGACUGGAGUGCAGGAGAGGUAAGCGGAAUUCCUGGUGUAGCGGUGAAAUGCGUAGAUAUCAGGAGGAACACCAGUGGCGAAGGCGGCUUACUGGACUGUAACUGACGUUGAGGCCCGAAAGCGUGGGGAGCAAACAGGAUUAGAUACCCGAGUA
RNAcentral lists this ribosomal RNA (445 nucleotides) under uncultured bacterium. Its description in RNAcentral is "partial 16S ribosomal RNA". It matches the Rfam family "Bacterial small subunit ribosomal RNA", at positions 330 to 792 of the family's 1533-position model. The record is from RNAcentral.